RNAcentral lists this ribosomal RNA (400 nucleotides) under phytoplankton environmental sample. RNAcentral's name for it is "partial small subunit ribosomal RNA". It matches the Rfam family "Eukaryotic small subunit ribosomal RNA", at positions 587 to 982 of the family's 1831-position model. The record is from RNAcentral.
AGCUUCAGGAGCGUAUAUAAACGUUGUUGCAGUUAAAAAGCUCGUAGUUGGAUGUCUGGUGUGAGGUGCCUGGCCCGCCGGGGUUAUCCCGUGUGAGUGCUGGCGCGUCUCCACCAUCCUUCGGGGGACCGCGCCUACCCUUAAUUGGGCGGGGCGCGUGAGCCCGAUCGUUUACUUUGAAAAAAUUAGAGUGUUCCACGCAGGCUCGCGCUGUGAAUACAUUAGCAUGGAAUAAUGACAUAGGACUUUGGUUCUAUUUUGUUGGUUUUAAGGACCGAAGUAAUGAUUGAUAGGGAUAGUUGGGGGUGCUCGUAUUCAGCGGCCAGAGGUGAAAUUCUUGGAUUCGCUGAAGACGAACUUAUGCGAAAGCAUUCACCAAGGAUGUCUUCUUUAAUCAAGA